RNAcentral lists this ribosomal RNA (529 nucleotides) under Bifidobacterium dentium. RNAcentral describes it as "bacterial SSU rRNA". It matches the Rfam family "Bacterial small subunit ribosomal RNA", at positions 158 to 697 of the family's 1533-position model. Lineage: Bacteria; Bacillati; Actinomycetota; Actinomycetes; Bifidobacteriales; Bifidobacteriaceae. The record is from RNAcentral.
GGGUGGUAAUGCCGGAUGCUCCGGUUGGAUGCAUGUCCUUCCGGGAAAGAUUCCAUCGGUAUGGGAUGGGGUCGCGUCCUAUCAGCUUGAUGGCGGGGUAACGGCCCACCAUGGCUUCGACGGGUAGCCGGCCUGAGAGGGCGACCGGCCACAUUGGGACUGAGAUACGGCCCAGACUCCUACGGGAGGCAGCAGUGGGGAAUAUUGCACAAUGGGCGCAAGCCUGAUGCAGCGACGCCGCGUGCGGGAUGGAGGCCUUCGGGUUGUAAACCGCUUUUGAUCGGGAGCAAGCCCUUCGGGGUGAGUGUACCCUUCGAAUAAGCACCGGCUAACUACGUGCCAGCAGCCGCGGUAAUACGUAGGGUGCAAGCGUUAUCCGGAAUUAUUGGGCGUAAAGGGCUCGUAGGCGGUUCGUCGCGUCCGGUGUGAAAGCCCAUCGCUUAACGGUGGGUCUGCGCCGGGUACGGGCGGGCUGGAGUGCGGUAGGGGAGACUGGAAUUCCCGGUGUAACGGUGGAAUGUGUAGAUAU